UACGGAGGGGGCUAGCGUUGUUCGGAAUUACUGGGCGUAAAGCGCACGUAGGCGGACUGUUAAGUCGGGGGUGAAAUCCCGGGGCUCAACCCCGGAAUGGCCUUAGAUACUGGCGGUCUUGAGGUCUGGAGGGGUGAGUGGAAUUCCGAGUGUAGAGGUGAAAAUCGUAGAUAUUCGGAUGAACACCAGUGGAGAAGGCGGCUCACUGGCCAGAUACAGACGCUGAGGUGCGAAAGCGUGGGGAGCAAACAGG
Molecule: ribosomal RNA, 253 nt
Filed under: uncultured bacterium
Lineage: Bacteria
Description: partial 16S ribosomal RNA
Rfam family: Bacterial small subunit ribosomal RNA
Source: RNAcentral